ACAGCAGCCGCCGCGGUAAUACGGAGGGUGCAAGCGUUAAUCGGAAUUACUGGGCGUAAAGCGCACGCAGGCGGUCUGACAAGUCAGAUGUGAAAUCCCCGGGCUUAACCUGGGAACUGCAUUUGAAACUGUCAGGCUGGAGUCUUGUAGAGGGGGGUGGAAUUCCAGGUGUAGCGGUGAAAUGCGUAGAGAUCUGGAGGAAUACCGGUGGCGAAGGCGGCCCCCUGGACAAAGACUGACGCUCAGGUGCGAAAGCGUGGGGAGCAAACAGGAUUAGAUACCCGUGUAGUCCCUGUCUCUUAUAA
Molecule: ribosomal RNA, 305 nt
Filed under: uncultured bacterium
Lineage: Bacteria
Description: partial 16S ribosomal RNA
Rfam family: Bacterial small subunit ribosomal RNA
Source: RNAcentral